CAUACACACAAACUGUUAAGCGUGUUAUGU
This 30-nucleotide non-coding RNA is filed under the name Mus musculus (house mouse). The record is from RNAcentral. Lineage: Eukaryota; Metazoa; Chordata; Mammalia; Rodentia; Muridae.